AAGGAUUUAAGUUAAACCAAACUAAUAACCUUCAAAGUUGUAAAUAGAAUGCUUCUUCUAAGCCUUA
Molecule: transfer RNA, 67 nt
Filed under: Tribolium audax (American black flour beetle)
Lineage: Eukaryota; Metazoa; Arthropoda; Insecta; Coleoptera; Tenebrionidae
Description: tRNA-Trp
Source: RNAcentral